Molecule: long non-coding RNA, 247 nt
Organism: Asterias rubens (European starfish)
Lineage: Eukaryota; Metazoa; Echinodermata; Asteroidea; Forcipulatida; Asteriidae
Exons: 3
Source: RefSeq, a predicted model, not a curated record
CAACAAGUAAUGUUUGAUGAGACCAAGUUAUCAUCAUACAGCCUGACAAAAAGAGCUACCUUCUCUGUAAACAGCUCCAGUCUCCAAAACAUCUACAUGUCAACAAGUAACUCUCUGAGAUCCACUUAUCAUAAUACAGCCUGGCAUGAAGAACUACCUUCUCUGUAAACAGGAAGGCUUUCCAUCUUCAAAGAUGUCUACACUUCAACAAGUAGAUGUCUAAUAAACUGGCAUGUGAUUAAGGAAC